This is a long non-coding RNA of Cyprinus carpio (common carp), 518 nucleotides long. RefSeq lists it as uncharacterized. The record is from RefSeq and is a predicted model, not a curated record. Lineage: Eukaryota; Metazoa; Chordata; Actinopteri; Cypriniformes; Cyprinidae. The transcript has 3 exons.
CCAUCCCAAGGUUACUAGAGAUUGCACCAGCUCCAGACUGAAUCCAAACUCACUUGUGCAGAACUUCAGAUGACGCCAGCGCACACAGAGAUUACAGAUGACAGCAACUGUACAUGGACACACAAAACAUUGGACACACAAAACAAAUAUUAUCCUUAUAUUGCCUAUAAGGCCCUCCAGGGGGGGCGGGACUGACUGCUGCUGGGUCGGACGCCGAUCCUGUUUCUCUUCUCUUUCCACGCCAAUCGUUUUUACCCCACUCUCUGCCACUAGAGUGGGCAGGGAGGUCGGGGCUGGCCUGUUGGCGUUGCGGGGACCCAGAGCAUUUCAUGGAUAGGUGUCCAGUAAUGGAGGUGAGGAUGAUGAUUCAGGUCCUGGAUGUCCCACAGGCCGCACCCGGUCAAGCUGGCUGGUACCAAAUACCUACAGACGCAUCGGACAGGGGGUUGGGUGCAGUCCUGUCCCAGGAGAUAGAUGGGGAGGAACGGUCCGGUGCUGUACAUUAGGUCGUAAGCUCU